Molecule: ribosomal RNA, 721 nt
Filed under: Acinetobacter baumannii OIFC083
Lineage: Bacteria; Pseudomonadati; Pseudomonadota; Gammaproteobacteria; Moraxellales; Moraxellaceae
Description: bacterial SSU rRNA
Rfam family: Bacterial small subunit ribosomal RNA
Source: RNAcentral
AUUGAACGCUGGCGGCAGGCUUAACACAUGCAAGUCGAGCGGGGGAAGGUAGCUUGCUACUGGACCUAGCGGCGGACGGGUGAGUAAUGCUUAGGAAUCUGCCUAUUAGUGGGGGACAACAUCUCGAAAGGGAUGCUAAUACCGCAUACGUCCUACGGGAGAAAGCAGGGGAUCUUCGGACCUUGCGCUAAUAGAUGAGCCUAAGUCGGAUUAGCUAGUUGGUGGGGUAAAGGCCUACCAAGGCGACGAUCUGUAGCGGGUCUGAGAGGAUGAUCCGCCACACUGGGACUGAGACACGGCCCAGACUCCUACGGGAGGCAGCAGUGGGGAAUAUUGGACAAUGGGGGGAACCCUGAUCCAGCCAUGCCGCGUGUGUGAAGAAGGCCUUAUGGUUGUAAAGCACUUUAAGCGAGGAGGAGGCUACUUUAGUUAAUACCUAGAGAUAGUGGACGUUACUCGCAGAAUAAGCACCGGCUAACUCUGUGCCAGCAGCCGCGGUAAUACAGAGGGUGCGAGCGUUAAUCGGAUUUACUGGGCGUAAAGCGUGCGUAGGCGGCUUAUUAAGUCGGAUGUGAAAUCCCCGAGCUUAACUUGGGAAUUGCAUUCGAUACUGGUGAGCUAGAGUAUGGGAGAGGAUGGUAGAAUUCCAGGUGUAGCGGUGAAAUGCGUAGAGAUCUGGAGGAAUACCGAUGGCGAAAGCAGCCAUCUGGCCUAAUACUGA